GACGAACGCUGGCGGCGUGCUUAACACAUGCAAGUCGAACGGAAAGGCCCUGCUUUUGUGGGGUGCUCGAGUGGCGAACGGGUGAGUAACACGUGAGUAACCUGCCCUUGACUUUGGGAUAACUUCAGGAAACUGGGGCUAAUACCGGAUAGGAGCUCCUGCUGCAUGGUGGGGGUUGGAAAGUUUCGGCGGUUGGGGAUGGACUCGCGGCUUAUCAGCUUGUUGGUGGGGUAGUGGCUUACCAAGGCUUUGACGGGUAGCCGGCCUGGGAGGGUGACCGGGCACAGUGGGACUGAGAGACGGCCCAGACUCCUACGGGAGGCAGCAGUGGGGAAUAUUGCACAAUGGGCGGAAGCCUGAUGCAGCAACGCCGCGUGCGGGAUGAAGGCCUUCGGGUUGUAAACCGCUUUCGCCUGUGACGAAGCGUGAGUGACGGUAAUGGGUAAAGAAGCACCGGCUAACUACGUG
This 468-nucleotide ribosomal RNA is filed under the name uncultured bacterium. Its description in RNAcentral is "partial 16S ribosomal RNA". It matches the Rfam family "Bacterial small subunit ribosomal RNA", at positions 28 to 507 of the family's 1533-position model. The record is from RNAcentral.